RNAcentral lists this long non-coding RNA (432 nucleotides) under Homo sapiens (human). Its description in RNAcentral is "non-protein coding lnc-CYFIP1-3:3". The record is from RNAcentral. Lineage: Eukaryota; Metazoa; Chordata; Mammalia; Primates; Hominidae.
AGUCACAUAGCUGCGUGGUACGUGACUGGAGGCAUAUCACUGUCCUCGCCUGGAUCACGCCAAUGUGGCCCCAACCCCACCUCCCUCCCCACCCCAUGAUGUCAGAAAAAACCUGACACAGAAAAUUGGCUGGGGCCAAGAGAAAGUUCACAGACUAUCGUCAGUGGAACAUUGCUGGUGUUGGUACCGGAGCAACCGACACCAAAAAGAAGAAAAUAAAUCAUGGCACUAACCCUGAGACAACCACUUCGGGGGGCUGCCACUCGCCUGAGGAUGUGAGUCUUGGCUGGCCGGUCUCCUGAGGACAAGGGGCACAAGGGGGAGGUCGAGGGUAACUGUUAAGAUUGUGGAAGGAAGAACUGCCGGGUACUGGCUAAGAAUUCUGGGUUUGAGUCCUACUUCUCUCUCCAUCUGCGAGGGACACGGUUUAGG